This 250-nucleotide ribosomal RNA is filed under the name uncultured Staphylococcus sp. RNAcentral describes it as "partial 16S ribosomal RNA". It matches the Rfam family "Bacterial small subunit ribosomal RNA", at positions 90 to 334 of the family's 1533-position model. The record is from RNAcentral. Lineage: Bacteria; Bacillati; Bacillota; Bacilli; Caryophanales; Staphylococcaceae.
CGUUAGCGGCGGACGGGUGAGUAACACGUGGAUAACCUACCUAUAAGACUGGGAUAACUUCGGGAAACCGGAGCUAAUACCGGAUAAUAUAUUGAACCGCAUGGUUCAAUAGUGAAAGACGGUUUUGCUGUCACUUAUAGAUGGAUCCGCGCCGCAUUAGCUAGUUGGUAAGGUAACGGCUUACCAAGGCAACGAUGCGUAGCCGACCUGAGAGGGUUACCGGCCACACUGGAACUGAGACACGGUCCAG